UUUGAAUUUGGCUCCAUAAAGGUCUGAGGCUCCAAUGGCCUGGUUCAUUGUUGAAGUCUCUUUUCUUGAUCGUGUCCGCUAUUACUGAAUUAUCAGUUAAAAAACUAGUGCCUGCAAAGUUGAAGAAUUUGGCAAUCUCCAUAGCUAGUUGCAGUGCCACCAGUUCUGCCUGCAAAGAAUAUUGAGCUACCUCGCUUUUGGCUUUAAUAAAAGAGAUUUGCUGAAGUAUGUCAAACGGUACUAAAUCAUUUUCGAUCGUUGGAUCUAGCUAGGCAGGGUAUUAGACCAGAGCAAAUCUCUUAAUAAAAAGAGCAUUGUGUGUCAUCGGCAUGUGGAAGAAAAUACCAAUCCCUAUGAAAGUGUUCUCCCAAGCUGCAUCUAUAUAACAUCUAUUGCCCUCCGAAAUGGUUUCCAUUCUUCUUUUGUUUUCCUCCUCCUGAGAUUCCACCUGCAAAUUAUGAUUUGUAGAGUAUAUGUAUUUAUCAUAGCUUCUGCCGCAAAACACAAAACACACUUGGGUCGGCUCCUUUAAGAUGCCCUGAAAUUUCAGAUCAUUUCUGGCCUUCCAAAGCUACCACAAGAUAAUGAAAAGAUUUAUGGAUAUCAAUUUUAUUAGUACUAUUUUUUUUAGAUAAAGGAUUAUAAAUUAACCCGGCCUCUACACCUUUUAGGAGGUGACCAUUUGAGGAAAUGUAAGCAAUGAUGUGAGCCAGAGAAACAUUAUCAGGGAAAAUGUCAGUAGAAAGAUUUGCUUCAGAAAUUCUCCACGUUAUUCUGCUAAAGGAACAACGAAAGAAAAGAUGGAAAUAUGUUUCAGGUUGAUUGCACCUACAGCAAUUAGCUGAAAUAUCAGAAAUUCUGUGAUUUAACUUUUGCGCUGAAUGCAGAACUUUCUCCGAGCAGUCUCCAAGCAAAAACUUUAACCGUGGGAGGAGUAAGCUUGUCCUUCCAGAUGAUUUUGAUGAUAGAAGUCACCAGGGGAUUUACCUGUUGAAAGUUAUGAAUCUGAUCACUUUUCAUAAUCUCCUUAUAUGCACUCUUAGUAUUACAAAUUCCAUUCUUAGAAUGCUUCCAAGUUCCAACAAAGCAAUUCAUUAUCAUUAUGAAUGAUCUGGACCUGCAAAAUUUUGUUCACAGCUUGAUUUUCAAAGAUUAAAUUAAGUUUCUCACCAUCCCAGGUUUUAUUAUCAGUCCACAGGUCAGCAACCAUGGUUGUGAAUAGGGUCAAGUUUAAUGAAAUCAUGAAUAUCAGAAUCUAGCUCACACCAUGGUUGGCUCCAAUGAAUGCUUCUCCGUGGCUGGCCAGCUGUAUGGGUGUUAGGGUGUAUGGCACGAACAAUACAAAUCAUAAAAAAAAAAAAGAGGAAACAAUAUUAAGUCCCAGUGGAUGCCCUUCCAGUGCGUCUGAAUUCAUCCGAUGAAACCGGUUUGCAGUGUGAUCCUCUUCUCUUUGCUCAUUCAUCGCUGCCUUCCGGCUUAAACUUAGUGUUUUUAGUUUGAUUUGACCCAACAAUAAACCAUGCUGAUGUGUCGAUUUUUCUAAUAUAUAGUUAAAUGGACGGAAACAGUCAAAAUCGACAUCUCUCCGGAAAUGAUUCUCCUUUGGUUGAGAAAAUUAAUCAUAUUUUUCACUUUUAUUAUUCAGUGCUGACAGCAAUAAGAUGCUACAAGAACAUAGAAAAAUCAAAUUAUAUAUAUAUAUAGAAUAAUAAUAAUAAUAAUAAUAAAGAAAAAUAGUAGCUCUUAUACGAAAAUGUCGGUUGGUCAUUGAGGAAUUUUCAUGAUUACCUGCAUUCGUUUGGAGAACAAAGGGAGUUUGUUUAUUUCGUUUUCCGCGUGCGUACUUCCCAAACUACUAAACGGUGCGUUUUUUGCAAACAUUUUCUAUAUGAAAUUUACUUUAAAAAAUCAUAUUAAUCCAUUUUUAAAGUUUAAAAUAGUUAAUACUUAAUUAAUCAUGCACUAAUGGCUUAUCUCGUUUUGCGUAUCUUCCCAAUUUUCUUAAUCCCCUCUCCCUCAAACACAGACAAAAUUUUAUGUAGAUCGUGCAUUCUACAACUUUUAUGUAGUUAAGUAGUUAGUACACACUAGAGCUCAACAUGUAAGAAUGUCAAAUCAUCAUUCCAUACUAUUUUCAUGAUAUUUCAACAUAUAUUUAUCCAUCAUGUGUAUAAUGUCUAACGUAAGUUCAUCUAUAUAUUUCACACUUGCAUCUAGUUUACAUGAGGUCAACAACCAGAACCUUGCGAUGAUUGACAUAUAUAGUAAUAAUUGUAUAAUGCUUCUUCUGAGAAUAACACUUAGUCUCUGCAAUUUUCGCUAAACUAUUUGUGGCAGCUGGCUUUAUUGGAUAUGCCUAUGCCAGUAGUUGGUUCCAGUAUUAAAUUGCUAUAAAAAUAGUAUAUUAGCAAAUAAUUACAUAUAUACUACCCGGUAGUCAACCCUUGUAUUCUUCACUACUAAAAAAACAUUUUUUCAUGCGAUCAAAAUAGGUUUUUCCAUGCGGAGGAAUUGCCUGUCUGCACUAGAAGUAUGGGAAAAUCAAUAUUUUCACGUGCGGGCAGCUCAACCGCAGGGGAAAAUCAUCUUCCAGUGCAGUCAGGUUAAGUGGACUGCAUGGGAUACCGCCCACACGUAAAAGAAAAACAAAAUAAAAAAAAUAAAAAAUCCUAACCCUAGAAUCGCCUGCCGCCGCUCCCGGCUGCCAUCAUCGCGCCGUCGCCGCACCCUGUUGCUGUCGUCGUGACGCCGCAGCGACCGUCGUCUACGCCCGAGACCACCACCGUCGCGCCGGCUGCCACCGCC
Molecule: small RNA, 2805 nt
Filed under: Oryza sativa Japonica Group (Japanese rice)
Lineage: Eukaryota; Viridiplantae; Streptophyta; Magnoliopsida; Poales; Poaceae
Description: sRNA Os08g0372401
Source: RNAcentral